UGUGGUAUCAUCAGAGACACCUACUGAGGU
Molecule: non-coding RNA, 30 nt
Filed under: Homo sapiens (human)
Lineage: Eukaryota; Metazoa; Chordata; Mammalia; Primates; Hominidae
Source: RNAcentral